Molecule: transfer RNA, 76 nt
Filed under: Flavobacteriales bacterium
Lineage: Bacteria; Pseudomonadati; Bacteroidota; Flavobacteriia; Flavobacteriales
Description: tRNA-Pro
Rfam family: tRNA
About the family: Transfer RNA (tRNA) molecules are approximately 80 nucleotides in length.
Source: RNAcentral
CGGGGUGUAGCUCAGCUCGGUUUAGAGUGCACGUCUGGGGGGCGUGAGGUCGGAGGUUCGAAUCCUCUCACCCCGA